RNAcentral lists this long non-coding RNA (1600 nucleotides) under Homo sapiens (human). Its description in RNAcentral is "MIR762 host gene (MIR762HG)". Lineage: Eukaryota; Metazoa; Chordata; Mammalia; Primates; Hominidae. The record is from RNAcentral.
CCUUUGUCUCCGCGGAGCGUCACAAAGGUUGGAAGGGUCGCGGGGCCUCUGGGUGCCGAGCUGCAGAUGCCUCCACUGCGAGCACAGCCCUGAGACAAGGGCCCAGGCGCCCAGCGGGGCUGGUUUCACUCAGUCCAGCCGCACCUACCCGUGCCCUCACCAGAUCUUAAGAUACAGACAUUAAAACCUCCACCGGGCCGCGGCACAGGACAGCAGUUUUACUUUCUGUUUUUGGCAUUGCAUUGCCUCCAUUUCCUAGAGUGCACGUAAUAAAUACCGCUGGUGAUUCCAAAAUAUAAAGGUUGAAAAUAUUUACUUUACAAAAAUUUGGUUCCCAUACUGCUUUUAAGGCCAUCCUCUGCACUUGGUUCCCGCUGCUCCUGAUGUGGUUGAAAGAUGGAUGACCCCAAAGACGAGGAAAAGAUUAUUGGCUCCAUUUUUUAGAUGCGGCAGCCAGCUAAGGUCUAGACAGGGGAAGGGACUUGCCCCAAAUCACAGUUAGAGCAAAUCAGUCUGAAUCAGGAAUAACUCCAUUCCUAUCCCGCAUCCUGCCCUUUCACUACGCCACAGCUGCCUGGCUGCCUGGAGGAACAAAGGAGGGCCGGGCAAGAACGCCAUUACCAACUGCAAAUCCACAGGCAAAUGCAAGAGGACAGAAAUCCCAAGAACCCAGCCCCUAAGCCUUCAGCUCUGUCCCAGGUCUGCCUCUCCUCCAGGCCCUCAGGACGCAGGCUCCAAGCCUUCGACUGCCCAGAUCCCCCAUUCCCUCCAAGACCCAGGAGUCCAGCCUUCUGGCCUCUCUCACCUCAGCUUCCAGCAGUUCUGGAACAGGCUCCUCCUUGGUCAGCAUUGGGGGUUCGUCGGUGCUGCCAGCAGUUAUGCCCCCGGGAUCUGGAACGUCAAGGCGCUGCGAAUACGAGUGGGUCUCCACCACCAGAAUGGCUAAAGUGAAAAAGACCGCACCGUGUGGAGGCGAGAAAGUAGAGCGACUGGACCUCUCUUGUAUUUCUGGGGGAGUGUAAAUUGGUAGAGACAUUUUGGAAAACUGGCAGUUUUCUAAUGAAGCCGAACAUAUGCCACCUCUGUGAUCCAGCAGUUCCACUCCUAGGCUGUCAACACCCAGCAGAAAUGUGUAGGUGUGAGCAUCAAGAGGGUGCAUGGGAAUGUUCAGAGCCCUUUCAUAACAGCCCCAAACUGGAAAUAACCCAUCAACAGAAUGGAAAAUGAAUGAUGCCCUACUCACUACCAUGCACAUAGACACAGCAACGGGAUUGACAUGCCCGGCUACACACAGCAACAUAGACAAGUCGCAUGAUGAAAUCUUGAGUGACAGAAGCCAAAUGCAACAGUACAUACUAGAUGGUUCCAGGUGUAUUACGUUCAGAACCAGACAAAACUAAUUUAUAGUGCACCAAAGUCAAGAUAGUGAUCGCCCUUAGGGUUGGGAGGGGACGAGGGGAGAGCUUCUGGGAGCUGAUCCAGUUCUGUUGUGUAAUCUGGUGCUGGUUCCCUGGGCAUAUGUAUUCUGUGAAAAUCCAUCACAUGACUUAAAUAAAAUGUACAUUACUUAAAUAAAAAAAAAAAAAAAAAAAAAAAAAAA